AAUAUUGCGCAAUGGGGGGAACCCUGACGCAGCGACGCCGCGUGAGUGAAAAAGGUCUUCGGAUCGUAAAGCUCUGUCAUCGGGGACGAAGGUAUGACGGUACCCGAAGAGGAAGCCCCGGCUAACUACGUGCCAGCAGCCGCGGUAAUACGUAGGGGGCGAGCGUUGUCCGGAAUUAAUGGGCGUAAAGGGUGCGUAGGCGGCCUUUUAAGUCAGAUGUGAAAGGCUACGGCUUAACCGUAGUUAGCAUUUGAAACUAAAAGGCUUGAGUGCAGGAGAGGAGAGUGGAAUUCCUAGUGUAGCGGUGAAAUGCGUAGAUAUUAGGAGGAACACCAGUGGCGAAGGCGACUCUCUGGACUGCAACUGACGCUGAGGCACGAAAGCGUGGGGAGCGAACAG
Molecule: ribosomal RNA, 399 nt
Filed under: uncultured bacterium
Lineage: Bacteria
Description: partial 16S ribosomal RNA
Rfam family: Bacterial small subunit ribosomal RNA
Source: RNAcentral